RNAcentral lists this ribosomal RNA (466 nucleotides) under uncultured bacterium. RNAcentral's name for it is "partial 16S ribosomal RNA". It matches the Rfam family "Bacterial small subunit ribosomal RNA", at positions 28 to 507 of the family's 1533-position model. The record is from RNAcentral.
GAUGAACGCUGGCGGCGUGCUUAACACAUGCAAGUCGAACGAUGAAGCCCAGCUUGCUGGGUGGAUUAGUGGCGAACGGGUGAGUAACACGUGAGUAACCUGCCCUUAACUCUGGGAUAAGCCUGGGAAACUGGGUCUAAUACCGGAUAGGAGCGUCCACCGCAUGGUGGGUGUUGGAAAGAUUUAUCGGUUUUGGAUGGACUCGCGGCCUAUCAGCUUGUUUGUGAGGUAAUGGCUCACCAAGGCGACGACGGGUAGCCGACCUGAGAGGGUGACCGGCCACACUGGGACUGAGACACGGCCCAGACUCCUACGGGAGGCAGCAGUGGGGAAUAUUGCACAAUGGGCGCGAGCCUGAUGCAGCGACGCCGCGUGAGGGAUGACGGCCUUCGGGUUGUAAACCUCUUUCAGUAGGGAAGAAGCGAAAGUGACGGUACCUGCAGAAGAAGCACCGGCUAACUACGUG